UUGACAUGAGUAACGACAAUGGGUGUGAAAAACACCCACGCCGAAAGACCAAGGGUUCCUGCGCAACGUUAAUCGACGCAGGGUUAGUCGGUUCCUAAGGCGAGGCUGAAAAGCGUAGUCGAUGGGAAACAGGUUAAUAUUCCUGUACUUCUGGUUACUGCGAUGGAGGGACGGAGAAGGCUAGGCCAGCUUGGCGUUGGUUGUCCAAGUUUAAGGUGGUAGGCUGAAAUCUUAGGUAAAUCCGGGGUUUCAAGGCCGAGAGCUGAUGACGAGUCGUCUUUUAGAUGACGAAGUGGUUGAUGCCAUGCUUCCAAGAAAAGCUUCUAAGCUUCAGGUAACCAGGAACCGUACCCCAAACCGACACAGGUGGUCGGGUAGAGAAUACCAAGGCGCUUGAGAGAACUCGGGUGAAGGAACUAGGCAAAAUGGCACCGUAACUUCGGGAGAAGGUGCGCCGGCUAGGGUGAAGGAUUUACUCCGUAAGCUCUGGCUGGUCGAAGAUACCAGGCCGCUGCGACUGUUUAUUAAAAACACAGCACUCUGCAAACACGAAAGUGGACGUAUAGGGUGUGACGCCUCCCCGGUGCCGGAAGGUUAAUUGAUGGGGUUAGCGCAAGCGAAGCUCUUGAUCGAAGCCCCGGUAAACGGCGGCCGUAACAAUAACGGUCCUAAGGUAGCGAAAUUCCUUGUCGGGUAAGUUCCGACCUGCACGAAUGGCGUAACGAUGGCGGCGCUGUCUCCACCCGAGACUCAGUGAAAUUGAAAUCGCUGUGAAGAUGCAGUGUAUCCGCGGCUAGACGGAAAGACCCCGUGAACCUUUACUGUAGCUUUGCACUGGACUUUGAGCCUGCUUGUGUAGGAUAGGUGGGAGGCUUUGAAGCGUGGACGCCAGUUCGCGUGGAGCCAUCCUUGAAAUACCACCCUGGCAUGCUUGAGGUUCUAACUCUGGUCCGUAAUCCGGAUCGAGGACAGUGUAUGGUGGGCAGUUUGACUGGGGCGGUCUCCUCCUAAAGAGUAACGGAGGAGUACGAAGGUGCGCUCAGACCGGUCGGAAAUCGGUCGCAGAGUAUAAAGGCAAAAGCGCGCUUGACUGCGAGACAGACACGUCGAGCAGGUACGAAAGUAGGUCUUAGUGAUCCGGUGGUUCUGUAUGGAAGGGCCAUCGCUCAACGGAUAAAAGGUACUCCGGGGAUAACAGGCUGAUACCGCCCAAGAGUUCAUAUCGACGGCGGUGUUUGGCACCUCGAUGUCGGCUCAUCACAUCCUGGGGCUGAAGCCGGUCCCAAGGGUAUGGCUGUUCGCCAUUUAAAGUGGUACGCGAGCUGGGUUUAGAACGUCGUGAGACAGUUCGGUCCCUAUCUGCCGUGGACGUUUGAGAUUUGAGAGGGGCUGCUCCUAGUACGAGAGGACCGGAGUGGACGAACCUCUGGUGUUCCGGUUGUCACGCCAGUGGCAUUGCCGGGUAGCUAUGUUCGGAAAAGAUAACCGCUGAAAGCAUCUAGGCGGGAAACUUGCCUCAAGAUGAGAUCUCACUGGGAACUUGAUUCCCCUGAAGGGCCGUCGAAGACUACGACGUUGAUAGGCUGGGUGUGUAAGCGUUGUGAGGCGUUGAGCUAACCAGUACUAAUUGCCCGUGAGGCUUGAUC
RNAcentral lists this ribosomal RNA (1646 nucleotides) under metagenome. RNAcentral describes it as "bacterial LSU rRNA". It matches the Rfam family "Bacterial large subunit ribosomal RNA", at positions 1297 to 2925 of the family's 2925-position model. The record is from RNAcentral.